CAGCUGGGACUUAGUAGACACUAAUUCUAUAAAGGCAGAAAUGGUGAAAGGAGCUACUGUCAUCAUCUCCAGAUCCCCAGUUCUUAUUCCCAGCUGGACUGUGUACCCAGAUGCCUACAAGGUGACCG
RNAcentral lists this long non-coding RNA (128 nucleotides) under Ictidomys tridecemlineatus (thirteen-lined ground squirrel). Its description in RNAcentral is "lncRNA (ENSSTOG00000029740.1)". The record is from RNAcentral. Lineage: Eukaryota; Metazoa; Chordata; Mammalia; Rodentia; Sciuridae.